UAGGGAAUAUUGCACCAUGGGCGAAAGCCUGAUGCAGCAACGCCGCGUGAGUGAUGAAGGCCUUCGGGUCGUAAAACUCUUUUCAAGGGGAAGAGGGAGGACGGUACCCUUGGAAUAAGCAUCGGCUAACUACGUGCCAGCAGCCGCGGUAACACGUAGGAUGCGAGCGUUAUCCGGAUUUACUGGGCGUAAAGCGCGUGUAGGCGGUUGAGAAAGUUGGAUGUGAAAGCUCCCGGCUUAACUGGGAGAGGUCGUUCAAAACUUCUUGACUUGAGUUUGGUAGAGGAAAAUGGAAUUCCGGGUGUAGUGGUGAAAUGCGUAGAUAUCCGGAGGAACACCAGUGGCGAAAGCGAUUUUCUGGACCAAUACUGACGCUCAGACGCGAAAGCUAGGGUAGCAAACGGGAUUAGAGACCCCGGUAGUCCUAGCUGUAAACGAUGUAGACUUGGCGUUGGAGGAGUAAAAUCUUUCAGUGCCGAAGCAAACGCGAUAAGUCUACCGCCUGGGGACUACGGCCGCAAGGCUA
Molecule: ribosomal RNA, 526 nt
Filed under: uncultured bacterium
Lineage: Bacteria
Description: bacterial SSU rRNA
Rfam family: Bacterial small subunit ribosomal RNA
Source: RNAcentral